UAAAUUACAUCUAAAUGCACUAUUUCCUCAAAUCUAUAAAAAUAAUUUUCUGAAAAGAAAAUUACUAUAAAACAAACACCUAAAAGAUAAUUUUUCAAUCAGAAAAAUAAUUUUCGAUAUAUUUUAACCAAAUAUCUAUUUCUAUUUCUCUACAUUAAAGGAGGGUUUGGGGGAACCAAAGGGUGACACGUGUCCCCCCAAACCCUCCUUUACUCUCUCUUCCUCUAUGUAUAUAUAUAUAUCCAUUUCUCUAAAUUAAAGAAGGGUUUGGGGGAACCAAAGGAUGUAUAUAUAUAUAUUGAUAUCAAAAUUUAAAAUUUUGAUACUUUCAAAUUUUAAAUUUUAAAUUUUAAAUUUAAUUUAUAAUAUUUAUUUUCAAAUUUUAAACUUCAAAAUUUAAAAUUUUAAAUCUCUAAACUCUAUGAAAUUAAUUAAUUAAUUUUAUUAAUAAUUCAUUAUAUAUAAUAUAAUUAAUUAAUUUUAUUAAUAAUACGCAUAAUAAAUCACGUAAUAAAAUCUAACCUGAUAGAUACAAUUUAAAUCACGUAAAAUAUCGUUGUAUAAAAAAAAUAUAGUAUUUAAAUUUUAGGAGUAAAAUUUUAGAAAUAUAGUGUAUUUCUGUGUAUAUAUAAUUAAUUUUAUUAAACAAUUUCAUUUACAAUUUUAUUUUCCUUCUAUUUAUUGAUUUUUUAAAAUUAUUUUGAUAGAUUUAUCUCAAAUCCUUUUCAUAUGUAUCUUUAUAAAAUAAAUUAUUAUAUAAAUUUACUUUGCGCAUAUAUCAAUUUUAAUGACUUUUAUUUAAAUAGAUUUAACUACUAAAUUAUUUUUAUAUAAUUUUUGUUUAAUUAAU
Molecule: long non-coding RNA, 850 nt
Filed under: Ananas comosus (pineapple)
Lineage: Eukaryota; Viridiplantae; Streptophyta; Magnoliopsida; Poales; Bromeliaceae
Description: long non-coding RNA (ACOM_LNC031831)
Source: RNAcentral